ACGGGAGGCAGCAGUGGGGGAUAUUGCACAAUGGGGGAAACCCUGAUGCAGCGACGCCGCGUGAGUGAUGAAGUAUUUCGGUAUGUAAAGCUCUAUCAGCAGGAAAGAUAAUGACGGUACCUGACUAAGAAGCACCGGAUAAAUACGUGCCAGCAGCCGCGGUAAUACGUAGGUGGCAAGCGUUAUCCGGAUUUACUGGGUGUAAAGGGCGCGUAGGCGGGAGAGCAAGUCAGAUGUGAAAUCCAUGGGCUUAACCCAUGAACUGCAUUUGAAACUGUUCUUCUUGAGUGCUGGAGAGGUAGACGGAAUUCCUUGUGUAGCGGUGAAAUGCGUAGAUAUAAGGAAGAACACCAGUGGCGAAGGCGGUCUACUGGACAGUAACUGACGCUGAGGCGCGAAAGCGUGGGGAGCAAACAGGAUUAGAUACCCUGGUA
This 434-nucleotide ribosomal RNA is filed under the name uncultured Lachnospiraceae bacterium. RNAcentral's name for it is "partial 16S ribosomal RNA". It matches the Rfam family "Bacterial small subunit ribosomal RNA", at positions 341 to 792 of the family's 1533-position model. The record is from RNAcentral. Lineage: Bacteria; Bacillati; Bacillota; Clostridia; Lachnospirales; Lachnospiraceae.